AGAAAGACCGCUGGAACUGCUAACUCCACACCCCAUAAUUAACAUUUAUGGCUUUCUU
Molecule: transfer RNA, 58 nt
Filed under: Octodon degus (degu)
Lineage: Eukaryota; Metazoa; Chordata; Mammalia; Rodentia; Octodontidae
Description: tRNA-Ser
Source: RNAcentral